GACGAACGCUGGCGGCGUGCUUAACACAUGCAAGUCGAACGGAAAGGCCCUGCUUUUGUGGGGUGCUCGAGUGGCGAACGGGUGAGUAACACGUGAGUAACCUGCCCUUGACUUUGGGAUAACUUCAGGAAACUGGGGCUAAUACCGGAUAGGAGCUCCUGCUGCAUGGUGGGGGUUGGAAAGUUUCGGCGGUUGGGGAUGGACUCGCGGCUUAUCAGCUUGUUGGUGGGGUAGUGGCUUACCAAGGCUUUGACGGGUAGCCGGCCUGGGAGGGUGACCGGCCACAUUGGGCCUGCGAUACGGCCCAGACUCCUACGGGCGGCAGCAGUGGGGAAUAUUGCGCAGUGGGCGGAAGCCUGAUGCAGAGACGCCGCGUGCGGGAUGACGGCCUUCGGGUUGUAAACAGCUUUCGACUUAGACGAAGCCUGAGUGACGGUAAUGGGUAAAGAAGCACCGGCUAACUACGUG
RNAcentral lists this ribosomal RNA (468 nucleotides) under uncultured bacterium. RNAcentral's name for it is "partial 16S ribosomal RNA". It matches the Rfam family "Bacterial small subunit ribosomal RNA", at positions 28 to 507 of the family's 1533-position model. The record is from RNAcentral.